Molecule: transfer RNA, 71 nt
Filed under: Planctomycetota bacterium
Lineage: Bacteria; Pseudomonadati; Planctomycetota
Description: tRNA-Gln
Rfam family: tRNA
About the family: Transfer RNA (tRNA) molecules are approximately 80 nucleotides in length. Their secondary structure includes four short double-helical elements and three loops (D, anti-codon, and T loops).
Source: RNAcentral
UGCCCUGUCGUCUAACGGUAGGACACCUGAUUCUGGAUCAGGUUGUUGAGGUUCGAAUCCUUGCAGGGCAA